GCGUAACGCGUGGGAAUCUGCCCUUGGGUUCGGAAUAACAGUUGGAAACGACUGCUAAUACCGGAUGAUAUCGAAAGAUCAAAGAUUUAUCGCCCAGGGAUGAGCCCGCGUAGGAUUAGCUAGUUGGUGAGGUAAAGGCUCACCAAGGCGACGAUCCUUAGCUGGUCUGAGAGGAUGAUCAGCCACACUGAGACUGAGACACGGCCCAGACUCCUACGGGAGGCAGCAGUAGGGAAUAUUGGACAAUGGGCGCAAGCCUGAUCCAGCAAUGCCGCGUGAGUGAUGAAGGCCUUAGGGUUGUAA
This 303-nucleotide ribosomal RNA is filed under the name uncultured Sphingomonas sp. Its description in RNAcentral is "bacterial SSU rRNA". It matches the Rfam family "Bacterial small subunit ribosomal RNA", at positions 108 to 428 of the family's 1533-position model. Lineage: Bacteria; Pseudomonadati; Pseudomonadota; Alphaproteobacteria; Sphingomonadales; Sphingomonadaceae. The record is from RNAcentral.